This 245-nucleotide ribosomal RNA is filed under the name uncultured bacterium. RNAcentral's name for it is "partial 16S ribosomal RNA". It matches the Rfam family "Bacterial small subunit ribosomal RNA", at positions 109 to 354 of the family's 1533-position model. The record is from RNAcentral.
AGUAACGCGUGGAUAACCUGCCUUACACUGGGGGAUAACACUUAGAAAUAGGUGCUAAUACCGCAUAAGCGCACAGAGCCGCAUGGCUCAGUGUGAAAAACUUCGGUGGUGUAAGAUGGAUCCGCGUCUGAUUAGCUGGUUGGCGGGGUAGAAGCCCACCAAGGCGACGAUCAGUAGCCGGCCUGAGAGGGUGAACGGCCACAUUGGGCCUGAGACACGGCCCAAACUCCUACGGGAGGCAGCAG